AAUAAAGUUCCGGCAAUCUCAACACAAGUUUUAUUGUUUAACCAACGACAUGAAUCACAAAUUAUGAUAAGGUGAAUAUUCAGAUAUUGGACAUCGUUCGAACGUCGACUCGAAGAAUUCCAAUACUGGUGGAAAGUUGGAGGGAAAUCUUUGGAAUCGUGGCACUAUGACAAAAAAAAUCCCUCUUCGCAAUAACCGCGGAAACCUAUCUUCCAAGAGUUGAUUAAGACUACUUUUUUUUUUAAACUACUUGUAUAAUUCACGCAGAGGGAAAUAACCUAACUGACAACGAGUUCAAUUCAUUUAACGCAGACAUAAAACUACUUUGUAUUUAUUUAAAAACAAUAUGCUUGUGACGCUUACGACUAUGACAUGAAAACGAAUUAAGACUAUGAAGGAAAUUAAUGUUUUUUUUCUAACUUACGGCCCAAUUUGUUUAUAUAGCGACUAUACUUGAUCGUUUCCACUAGUAGAAGGCUUUUGAUAUUGUUAUUACGAAUACCAUGUGGUGAAAGUUAGGUAUAUUUACCAGUUAUUAUUGUACCUCUCUACCUUUAAUUUUUGUAUAAUCACUGCUAAAUUUCGUGACUUUUGCAGGCUUUUUACUGGUUGUAGGACCUCUUGUAAGUCCGCGCGGGUAGGCACCACCACUCCGCCCAUUUCUGCCGUGAAGCAGUAAUGCGUUUCAGCUUGAAGGGUGGGGCAGCCGUUGUAAUUAUACUGAGACCUUAGAACUUAUAUCUCAAGGUGGGUGGCGCAUUUACGUUGUAGAUGCUUAUGGGCUCCAGUAACCACUUAACAUCAGGUGGGCUGUGAGCUCGUCUACCGAACUAAGCAAUAAAAAAAAGGCAAAACUCAGGAAUACAUCGAGGUUUUUAGGGAGUUGCUCGUGUGGGUUCCCUCGUUCUACCACGUCAACCUAGUAUUGGAUUCGCUCACGCGACCCUUACAUUGACACCUUCCAGGUCAUCCAUUACCGUUUCUGCAACAUAGCCGUCGGAGCACUAUGGCACAUGAGGAAAGUAGAUCUUCACGACGACCUUCAAUUAGAACUGAUAAAGUGGUAUCAGAAGACAGCGUCGAAACGUUAUUUCAAAUAAAUAAUAGUUUAAAAAAACUAACAAAAUACGCUUUUAUAGAAAAUCCAUGCUUUUUAGGAUAUUAUCAAAAUAACCCUUCUACUCAUAUCUGUUCAUAAAAUAUUUAUAGCUACUGAUACCAUGCACCCCACGCUUUUUUUACAAUAAAAUCAUUUUUUCUUACACUAUUUUUAGUUCAAAUUUACUAACAUUUAUUUUCUGUUUUUUAGUUGGAUUUUCUAUAAAAGCGUAUUUUGUUAGUUUUUUUAACUAUUAUUUAUUUUUCAUUUUUUAGUUGAAUUUCAAUUUUUCGAUAUAUAUUUUUUUCAAUAUUUUUUUAAUAUUGAAUUGUCAUCUGUCCUUAAUACGUAUACCAAAUUUCGAGUUAAUCCGACGUUUUGAAGGGGGUAAAAAUCAUGUUCAAAGUUUCCGUUACAAACAUACAACUAAUAAAAGCGUAUUAAAAAGCGGCGCGAACCGGUAAUCCUCUUAUCGUGGCCGCCGGAAACUACAUACCCGAUCCAGACCACCAAAGGGUAAACAGUUGACGUCGCCACUAUUGGUGCUUUUAGGCAUUCUAAACACCGGUUACAUAUUAAGUAGGUAUAUUAUAAUGGUCACCGUUCUCGUCGAUCCCGUCGAAUGCGACGAAGGGUUCGUCAUGAAAAGGUCUUAUAACCGUUUCCAAAUUUAACAAUACGUGUAGUCAGCAUGUCACGUUACUAAUUGAAGUCCGGCUAUCGUAUUAACAUGCGAAUCAAUACGUUCAACACCGUACGAUAAGAGGAAGUAGUUCUAAUUUGGCUUGCAAGAUUGGACCCAAGCAAACGUAAACGUCCAUAAAUAUAAAUGUUGCAAAUUGAGUGAAAGGACAAAAGGUUUUAAACACUGCCACUACAAGUCGCGACGAUACGCCUUUUAUGUUCCUGAACAGAAAUUUACUAAUAUAACAUUUUAAGGAGUUAUAAAAUAAAAAGUUGCAAAAUAACUCCAAUUUAUUGGAUCGAAAUAUAAUUAGAUCAUAAUAAAUUUCGUUUAUAAUAACAAAAUAAUUGGUUACAGUUAUUUUUUUUUACUGGAAUUACAGAAACUGUCACAGUUAUCUUUGAAAUAAUUGUACCAAAAAAAAAUAAACAUAACCUAUAUUCGUAAACAA
Molecule: long non-coding RNA, 2235 nt
Organism: Bombyx mori (domestic silkworm)
Lineage: Eukaryota; Metazoa; Arthropoda; Insecta; Lepidoptera; Bombycidae
Exons: 2
Source: RefSeq, a predicted model, not a curated record